GAUGAAGAACGCAGCGAAAUGCGAUAAGUAAUGUGAAUUGCAGAAUUCAGUGAAUCAUCGAAUCUUUGAAUGCACAUUGCGCCCCUUGGUAUUCCGAGGGGCAUGCCUGUUCGAGCGUCAUUAUAACCCCUCAAGCUCAGCUUGGUGUUGGGGCCUGCUGCACUGGCAGCCCUUAAAAUCAGUGGCGGCGCCAUCUGGCUCUAAGCGUAGUAAUUCUUCUCGCUAUGGAGUCCUGGUGGAUGCUUGCCAUCAACCCCCAAUUUUUCUAUGGUUGACCUCGGAUCAGGUAGGGAUACCCGCUGAACUUAAGCAUAUCAAUAAGCGGAGGA
This 329-nucleotide unclassified non-coding RNA is filed under the name soil metagenome. RNAcentral's name for it is "partial contains 5.8S ribosomal RNA, internal transcribed spacer 2, and large subunit ribosomal RNA". The stretch from base 1 to 120 matches the Rfam family "5.8S ribosomal RNA", at positions 35 to 154 of the family's 154-position model. The record is from RNAcentral.